GGGGAUGUGGUUCAAGUGGUAGCGCGCUCACCUGGCAUGUGCGGGGCUCUGAGUUCAAUCCUCAGCACCACA
Molecule: transfer RNA, 72 nt
Filed under: Marmota monax (woodchuck)
Lineage: Eukaryota; Metazoa; Chordata; Mammalia; Rodentia; Sciuridae
Description: tRNA.Ala
Source: RNAcentral